This 410-nucleotide ribosomal RNA is filed under the name uncultured Glomeromycotina. RNAcentral's name for it is "SSU rRNA". It matches the Rfam family "Eukaryotic small subunit ribosomal RNA", at positions 682 to 1090 of the family's 1831-position model. Lineage: Eukaryota; Fungi; Glomeromycota. The record is from RNAcentral.
GGUUUCGCUGAUUCCUCCUUUCUGAAGAACUGUAAUGUCAUUAAUUUGGUGUUGCAGGGAAACAGGACUGUUACUUUGAAAAAAUUAGAGUGUUUAAAGCAGGCUAACGCUUGAAUACAUUAGCAUGGAAUAAUGAAAUAGGACGUUCAAACCUAUUUUGUUGGUUUCUAGGAUUGACGUAAUGAUUAAUAGGGAUAGUUGGGGGCAUUAGUAUUCAAUUGUCAGAGGUGAAAUUCUUGGAUUUAUUGAAGACUAACUACUGCGAAAGCAUUUGCCAAGGAUGUUUUCAUUAAUCAAGAACGAAAGUUAGGGGAUCGAAGACGAUCAGAUACCGUCGUAGUCUUAACCAUAAACUAUGCCGACUAGGGAUCGGAUGAUGUUAAUUUUUUAAUGACUCAUUCGGCGCCUUA